This 328-nucleotide ribosomal RNA is filed under the name uncultured eukaryote. RNAcentral's name for it is "partial 18S ribosomal RNA". It matches the Rfam family "Eukaryotic small subunit ribosomal RNA", at positions 1470 to 1796 of the family's 1831-position model. The record is from RNAcentral.
CCCUUAGAUGUCCGGGGCUGCACGCGCGCUACACUGAAGGAAUCAGCGUGCUAAAACCAUUGUCGAAAGGCAUUGGUAAACCCAUUAAAAUCCUACGUGAUUGGGAUCGGGAAUUGCAAUUAUUUCCCUUGAACGAGGAAUUCCCAGUAAGUGUGGGUCAUAAGCUCGCGUUGAUUACGUCCCUGCCCUUGGUACACACCGCCCGUCGCUGCCCGGGACUGAGCCGUUUCGAGAAAAGCGGGGACUGCUGCUGUCGGGGCUUUCGGGCCUUGGCUUCGGUGGAAACCGCUUUAAUCGCAGUGGCUUGAACCGGGCAAAAGUCGUAACA